RNAcentral lists this ribosomal RNA (492 nucleotides) under uncultured bacterium. RNAcentral describes it as "partial 16S ribosomal RNA". It matches the Rfam family "Bacterial small subunit ribosomal RNA", at positions 29 to 507 of the family's 1533-position model. The record is from RNAcentral.
AGUGAACGCUGGCGGUAGGCCUAACACAUGCAAGUCGAACGGCAGCACAGUAAGAGCUUGCUCUUACGGGUGGCGAGUGGCGGACGGGUGAGGAAUGCAUCGGAAUCUACUUUUUCGUGGGGGAUAACGUAGGGAAACUUACGCUAAUACCGCAUACGACCUACGGGUGAAAGCAGGGGAUCUUCGGACCUUGCGCGAUUGAAUGAGCCGAUGUCGGAUUAGCUAGUUGGCGGGGUAAAGGCCCACCAAGGCGACGAUCCGUAGCUGGUCUGAGAGGAUGAUCAGCCCCACUGGAACUGGGACACGGUCCAGACUCCUACGGGAGGCAGCAGUGGGGAAUAUUGGACAAUGGGCGCAAGCCUGAUCCAGCCAUACCGCGUGGGUGAAGAAGGCCUUCGGGUUGUAAAGCCCUUUUGUUGGGAAAGAAAAGCAGCAGGUUAAUACCCCGCUGUUCUGACGGUACCCAAAGAAUAAGCACCGGCUAACUUCGUG